CUUGGGCAGACAGCAUGAGAGGCAGAGUCUUUGCUUACCUGGAGGUUGCCUUCUAAUGUACUGGGCUCCUGGGAGUGCAUGAAGGCUUCUUAGAUGAAGAGUAAUGGGGAUGUCUUACACAGCAAGAUGAGAAAACACAGACCACUUGGCUCUCUAGCGAGGACCAGAAUUUGAGUCAAAAUUAUAUGCAUGUCCCAGCAAAGCUUCGCAAAGAUGUCAGUAUUAAUUGUCACCAUCCUCCAGGGAGAAAGCAACAGCCCACAAUUGCCUGCAUUUUCUUUCCUCUUCAAAACCACUUCUGCUCCAAAGACCAUGAACCUGAACUGAAGAAACGACUCCUUCCUGCUGGUGUGAGAUAAUUCAGUCUCCAUGAUGUCUUAAUCCUGGGCCUCCCUUAAUUGACUUCUAACUGUGCUGAACUGUGGCUGCUAGGAGUUGCAAUGUGGAUCGCAAUUUACAAGGAAGAGAAAAAGACCGGUCUCUGUUUGGAAAUUACAAACAUAGAAGAACUUAGAAACAAUGGGUUUCUAGAUUGGGUGGAAGGACUGGCUUGGGAUCCUGAGAGAGCAAGAAAAGUUUACCGGGAGCUUCAGAAAAAGUUAUUCAUCAUUUUUGGAGUGGAUAUUCAGAAGUGACUUCCCUCUUUUGCUCUGGUAGGUAUGGAUAUGAGACCUCAGAAACCCCAGAACUCCUCAUUCUUUGCCUGACAGAAAAGCCCACACAUGGGAAAGACAGCCAUAAAGAUCAAAAGUAGAGCCCCUGGACUAAAUUAAGAAAGCAACUUGCUCAACCUUUCCACAUCUAGUUCCGUGAGCAAUCCAUUUCCUCAUGUCCAAAACAGCUUGACUGGGGGUUUCGGUUACUUACAGCCCAAAGCACACCAACUGGUAUGGUCAUCAGAAUUUAAGGCUUUUAAGUACUUAAAAUUCUGAUUUUAAGGA
RNAcentral lists this long non-coding RNA (941 nucleotides) under Homo sapiens (human). RNAcentral describes it as "HSALNT0140412". The record is from RNAcentral. Lineage: Eukaryota; Metazoa; Chordata; Mammalia; Primates; Hominidae.